AGAGUUUGAUCCUGGCUCAGAUUGAAGACGCUGGCGGCGUGCCUAACACAUGCAAGUCGAGCGGUAACAGGUGUAGCAAUACAUGCUGACGAGCGGCGAACGGGUGAGUAUGCUUCGGAAUCUGCCCAAUGGUGGGGAAUAACCAGCCGAAAGGUUGGCUAAUACCGCAUAAGUCCUACGGGAGAAAGCAGGGGAUCGUAAGACCUUGCGCCGAUGGACGAGCCGAAGUCGGAUUAGCUGGUUGGUAGGGUAACGGCCUACCAAGGCGACGAUCCGUAGCUGGUCUGAGAGGACGACCGCCACACUGGGACUGAGACACGGCCCAGACUCCUACGGGAGGCAGCAGUGGGGAAUAUUGGACAAUGGGGGAAACCCUGAUCCAGCGACGCCGCGUGUGUGAAGAAGGCCUGCG
Molecule: ribosomal RNA, 412 nt
Filed under: uncultured forest soil bacterium
Lineage: Bacteria
Description: bacterial SSU rRNA
Rfam family: Bacterial small subunit ribosomal RNA
Source: RNAcentral